RNAcentral lists this ribosomal RNA (373 nucleotides) under uncultured organism. RNAcentral's name for it is "partial 16S ribosomal RNA". It matches the Rfam family "Bacterial small subunit ribosomal RNA", at positions 527 to 896 of the family's 1533-position model. The record is from RNAcentral.
GCAGGUGGCAAGCGUUGUCCGGAAUUAUUGGGCGUAAAGCGCGCGCAGGCGGUUCUUUAAGUCUGAUGUGAAAGCCCACGGCUCAACCGUGGAGGGUCAUUGGAAACUGGAGAACUUGAGUACAGAAGAGGAAAGCGGAAUUCCACGUGUAGCGGUGAAAUGCGUAGAGAUGUGGAGGAACACCAGUGGCGAAGGCGGCUUUCUGGUCUGUAACUGACGCUGAGGCGCGAAAGCGUGGGGAGCAAACAGGAUUAGAUACCCUGGUAGUCCACGCCGUAAACGAUGAGUGCUAAGUGUUAGGGGGGUUUUCCGCCCCCCUUAGUGCUGCAGCUAACGCAUUAAGCACUCCGCCUGGAGUACGGCCGCAAGGCUG